AGGGAGGGAGGAGGGCGUUCUCGCCCGAGAGAGGCAGAACGCAGGCGCCGGACCUUCUCUCCGUGGCCUUUGUGCGACGGGAAGGCUUUUGCGCGUGCGCCACAACCAUAGAGUUUGGCGAGGCGUACUAGAGGGGCUACCUAUUGCACCUCCCGGGUGGUUCGGGCUUAAGGUUAGCCAGGCUGAGGCUAUGGGAGCUGCAGGUGGAUACACAACCUUGGAUCUGGUGUAGCUCUCCUUAGCCCAGAGACUUUUAAGUUAAACAAACGCCCAAGAUACCUUUCUUUCACUAGAAUAUCAGCCGAUUAACAAAAAUGGUCCCAAAGCUCCGUGACACUGGACCCAUUUUUAGGGCUAGAGAUAGUCUUCUUAAUCACUUUCUUCCCGCUCUUUAGCUCUGGGAUGUCCUUUUUCUCCUGAAAAUUCAUAUUCUGCCAGGUCCUUUAAAAAAAAAAAUCGUUCCAACUCUCAUCUGAAGCUCCGGCUGCCUUGGCUGCCAGUUUAGCAUUUGUCUCUGACCUUUCUGCUUCCUCGAAGGAGAGGGCAGACAGCGAUGCAAGUGUCUUGCAAUGACAGCGCUACUGCAGAAAAUACUUUAUGGACUGAGAGAGAUCGAUAGAGCCGUGGGAAGAAUGGAAGAGCCAGAGGACGGGGAUGAGCGCUGUGAAAUGCUUUCUUCGGGACAGGAUACGUUGACUGCACUCAUGAGCUCUCUGCAGCUGUGACUCCCUGCACAAAUUCAAGUCAUCAUUCCAACAGGCUUCCAGUAGAAGGCAGGCCCAGCUUAGAUCUGGAUUAAAGAUCUGAACUAAAGGUGUGUCUUGCUACCUCAAGGAUCUGAAUGAGAGGUCUCAUGGCCUUAGCUGGUAUUUAUAAUCACCUUCUACUACUCAUUCUGUAUAUGCUCCACCUCAAGCACUUCAGCAGCGUUUUGGCUCUUUGCCUGGAGAAGUGAUUCACACCUUCAUUCCUGGUAGGUCAGUGCCCUUUGUCACCCUGCCUGGGUCAGGCAGCUGUAGUUUCCUGUUGACUUUAAUCACAGAACUCACUAGCACCAAGAGAUUUCCUUAAAGUCUGCACUCUAGACAGAAACUGUCUUAUGUGUGCUGUGGCGCAG
This 1117-nucleotide long non-coding RNA is filed under the name Mus musculus (house mouse). Its description in RNAcentral is "lincRNA-EC61". The record is from RNAcentral. Lineage: Eukaryota; Metazoa; Chordata; Mammalia; Rodentia; Muridae.